RNAcentral lists this non-coding RNA (28 nucleotides) under Mus musculus (house mouse). Lineage: Eukaryota; Metazoa; Chordata; Mammalia; Rodentia; Muridae. The record is from RNAcentral.
UUGUCAGUAAAUAGGAGGCACGUUGUUA